GAUGAACGCUGGCGGCGGGCCUAAUACAUGCAAGUCGAGCGAACAGACGAUGAGCUUUCUCCUCUGACGUUAGCGGCUGACGGGUGAGUAACACGUGGAUAACCUACUUAUAUGACUGGGAUAACUUCGGGAAACCAGUUCUAAUACCGGAUAAUAUAUUGAACGGCAUGGAGCAAUAGUGAAAGACGGUUUUGCUGUCACUUAUAGAUGGAUCCGCGCCGCAUUAGCUAGUUGGUAAGGUAACGGCUUACCAAGGCGACGAUGCGUAGCUGACCUGAGAGGGUGAUCAGCCACACUGGAACUGAGACACGGUCCAGACUCCUACGGGAGGCAGCAGUAGGGAAUCUUCGACAAUGGGCGCAAGCCUGACCCAGCAACACCGCGUGAGUGAUGAAGGUCUUCGGAUCGUAAAGCUCUUUUGUUGGGAAAGAACAACUGUGUAAGAAACCAUGGACGUCCUGACGGUACCUAAUCAGAAAGCCACGGCUAACUACGUG
RNAcentral lists this ribosomal RNA (497 nucleotides) under uncultured bacterium. RNAcentral's name for it is "partial 16S ribosomal RNA". It matches the Rfam family "Bacterial small subunit ribosomal RNA", at positions 28 to 507 of the family's 1533-position model. The record is from RNAcentral.